This 839-nucleotide ribosomal RNA is filed under the name uncultured Acidobacteriota bacterium. RNAcentral's name for it is "bacterial SSU rRNA". It matches the Rfam family "Bacterial small subunit ribosomal RNA", at positions 56 to 896 of the family's 1533-position model. The record is from RNAcentral. Lineage: Bacteria; Pseudomonadati; Acidobacteriota.
UGCAAGUCGAGCGAGAAAGGGGUAGCAAUACCCUGAGUAAAGCGGCGCACGGGUGAGUAACACGUGGGUAAUCUGCCCUAGAGUGGGGAAUAACACCGGGAAACCGGUGCUAAUACCGCAUACGAUCACGAGGUCUUCGGAUCAUGUGAUGAAAGGAAGCAAUUUCGCUCUUGGAGGAGCCCGCGGCUGAUUAGCUAGUUGGUAAGGUAACGGCUUACCAAGGCAACGAUCAGUAUCCGGUCUGAGAGGACGGUCGGACACACUGGAACUGAGACACGGUCCAGACUCCUACGGGAGGCAGCAGUGGGGAAUUUUUGGCAAUGGGGGAAACCCUGACCAAGCAACGCCGCGUGGGUGAUGAAGUAUCUCGGUACGUAAAACCCUUUCGACGGGGACGAAAGCCGCAAGGCCUGACGGUACCCGUAGAAGAAGCCCCGGCUAACUCCGUGCCAGCAGCCGCGGUAAUACGGGGGGGGCAAGCGUUGUUCGGAAUUACUGGGCGUAAAGGGCGCGUAGGCGGUCUGCUAAGUUGGAUGUGAAAACUCUGGGCUUAACCCAGAGCCUGCAUUCAAUACUGACAGGCUAGAGUUCUGGAGGGGAUAGCGGAAUUCCUGGUGUAGCGGUGAAAUGCGUAGAUAUCAGGAGGAACACCGGUGGCGAAGGCGGCUAUCUGGACAGAGUCUGACGCUGAGGCGCGAAAGCUAGGGGAGCAAACAGGAUUAGAUACCCUGGUAGUCCUAGCCCUAAACGAUGGAUACUUGCUGUGACUGGGAUUGAAUCCAGUCGUGGCGAAGCUAACGCAUUAAGUAUCCCGCCUGGGGAGUACGGUCGCAAGGCUG